UCCGCGCUACGUUGGCGUGGCGUACAUUGUGUGCUCUACGGCGGCGUAAUGUGCGCCUUGCUCUCUGUGAAUCUGAGCCCAUAUGGGCAAAGGUUUGUGGACAUCCCACUCCAAAACCCCGGAAAUAAUUAUGGAGUUGUUAUUCCUCCCCACUACAACCCCCCCCCCCCCCCACCCCCACUCUCUGGGAAGGCUUACAAAGUCUUUGUGGUGUUGAAAGAAAGGACCCAUCUGCCAAUUGGCAUUCCAGUUUAUUCCAUUUUAAAAAUUCUGAGGGGUAUCCACAUAUGUUUCACAAUACAUUUCACUUUAACAAAGCAUUGUUGGUCUGUUAUCACAACAACACCGUGGGUAAAGAUUAAAUACAUAUAGAAAUACUUUGCCAAAAUAGUUUUUUUUUUUCUAUAUGUCACGUCCACUUACUUUAGUUAAAGGUGCAAUCAACACAAGCAUAGUAUCCAAAACUGGAGCAUAAGUAUAUCAUUUUGCUACUAAUACAUUUUAUAUUGAUAUCUCUUGUCACAUCCGUUUCCUGAUACUAGGAAAUAUAAUUUUUGGGUAAUUUGGAAGAAGAAAAAAGAAGAUUACCAAAAGAAACAUUGUGUGACCAUCCUCUGAUUGCAUCACAUGCUGAAACCAAACCUUAUUCAACAACUGAGUUACAGCAAGAAUUGGCCAAAUGUAUUGUGACAUAAGUGAAUAAUGCUUUUGAAAAUAAUACUUAUGCUAGGCAACAAGCUCAAUACACUGAUAAAAACAAAAAAAUAUGUAAUUACAUCUGAAGGCUAUAUCAAUUUGAUGGCUGACAGUGAAUCAUGAAUUCUACCUUUGGGAUUUGCACUCGGGCCAACUUGUAAGUUUUUUAAAAAAAAAGAUAUAUUAACAUAGUGGGAAGGAAGGAAACAUCAUCAUUAUAUUUAUAUUUUACAUGUUUUCUGUUAGCUGUGCAUAAAUGCUUAACUGUAUGCCAGUUGUUUAAAAAGCAGUAGGAAAGACCUUAGUCUGGGAAUGAAACUGCAGAGGAAUUCAAUGUCACAAAUUUCUACAAGAAUUAUAUACUGUAAUUCAUUUCUAGGAUUGUUAAUCAUAUCACAAAAUAUUUCCCCUUAUGUUUAUAGAGGACAUUUGAUAAAGGAUGAUAUUCUAUAUGUGUGUGUGAGAGAUUGUGAUCAAAGUUAUGUAAAUAGCAAUGUGUUAAAAAUUGUUUCUAUUUUUAUAUAUACAUAUAUAGCUGUAUAUGGGGCCACAGUUGUGUUUUGAAUACAUGCUAUGCUUCCUGAUUAGGAACAUAGCAUAACUACAUAUAGGUAUGAGAGUGGUCAGAGGUGCCGGCACAAUCAGACCACCCUCCAUUAUAUGCCUCAGCUGGGACUU
Molecule: long non-coding RNA, 1374 nt
Organism: Rana temporaria (common frog)
Lineage: Eukaryota; Metazoa; Chordata; Amphibia; Anura; Ranidae
Exons: 2
Source: RefSeq, a predicted model, not a curated record